ACAUACGACCAUAGGGUGUGGAGAACAGGGCUUCCCGUCCGCUCAGCCGUACUUAAGCCACACGCCGGGAGGUUAGUAGUUGGGUGGGUGACCACCAGCGAAUUCCUCCUGUUGUAUGUU
Aspergillus bombycis is the source of this 120-nucleotide ribosomal RNA. The record is from Rfam. Lineage: Eukaryota; Fungi; Ascomycota; Eurotiomycetes; Eurotiales; Aspergillaceae.